CUUUCCUUGACGACGACUGGCGCACGGGUGAGUAACGCGUAUCCAACCUUCCCAUGACCACGGGAUAACCCGUUGAAAGACGGCCUAAUACCGUAUGACGUCGUUUGCCGACAUCGAAAGACGACCAAAGGUUUGGCGGUGAUGGAUGGGGAUGCGUCUGAUUAGCUUGUUGGCGGGGUAACGGCCCACCAAGGCGACGAUCAGUAGGGGUUCUGAGAGGAAGGUCCCCCACAUUGGAACUGAGACACGGUCCAAACUCCUACGGGAGGCAGCAGCA
RNAcentral lists this ribosomal RNA (277 nucleotides) under uncultured Prevotella sp. Its description in RNAcentral is "partial 16S ribosomal RNA". It matches the Rfam family "Bacterial small subunit ribosomal RNA", at positions 79 to 355 of the family's 1533-position model. Lineage: Bacteria; Pseudomonadati; Bacteroidota; Bacteroidia; Bacteroidales; Prevotellaceae. The record is from RNAcentral.